UACAGAGGUCCCAAGCGUUGUUCGGAAUUACUGGGCGUAAAGGGCUCGUAGGCGGCCAACUAAGUCAGACGUGAAAUCCCUCGGCUUAACCGGGGAACUGCGUCUGAUACUGGAUGGCUUGAGUUUGGGAGAGGGAUGCGGAAUUCCAGGUGUAGCGGUGAAAUGCGUAGAUAUCUGGAGGACCACCGGUGGCGAAGGCGGCAUCCUGGACCAACACUGACGCUGAGUGAGCGAAAGCCAGGGGAGCAAACGGG
This 254-nucleotide ribosomal RNA is filed under the name uncultured bacterium. RNAcentral describes it as "partial 16S ribosomal RNA". It matches the Rfam family "Bacterial small subunit ribosomal RNA", at positions 524 to 776 of the family's 1533-position model. The record is from RNAcentral.